ACUGUAUGUGUGAACAUUACAACUGGUUGGGAUUAAAAAUGAAUCACAAUGCACUUUUUAAACGGCUGAGAGGUUAAUGGGCCUUAUCCCAAGAACUUCUGUAUCAUGUAAAAUAGCUUAGUAACGUGUAGGCUCCUCCAUACACGGGCAACUGUGACAGUAGCCUUAUUGAACGUUAUCACCUGACUGAAGCCACCUUGUUUUUU
Long non-coding RNA from Sander lucioperca (pikeperch), 206 nucleotides. RefSeq lists it as uncharacterized. Lineage: Eukaryota; Metazoa; Chordata; Actinopteri; Perciformes; Percidae. The transcript has 3 exons. The record is from RefSeq and is a predicted model, not a curated record.